AACAAAUAUUAAUUCGUUUUGUCUAAUAAUUCUUUAUAGUUACCUAAAACUGAUAUUAGUGUACAUUUAUUUUAAAAAUGUUUUUUUAAUUGUUAUUAUAUGGUUAAAAUACUGCAUUAUAAUCUGGAGUUUGGGUUGUGAUUAAAAUUUCAAAACAAGAUGCCCCUUCAACAAUGGAAAAGUAAACCCCAAGCUCCAGGAUAUGUGCAUUGCUGGGAUGACAUCAUGCUUAGAGUGGCUGAGCAUGGAGGCUGCAAAUUGCCAACACCACAGAAGUGACAUGACCCCAGAAUAUAUUGUUCAGAUUAGGACAUACAUUACUUAUUUCAGAAGAUCAAAGAAAAGCAUUUUUAUGUCUUCAACAUGGUUUUUGGUGACAAUGUUUGUUAAAUGUUCUUUUGCUGCAGUUCCUGUAUAGAUAAUAAUAGUUUCUGUCACUUUUAUUAGCAUUUAAAAUGAAACACCAGACUGUUCCUGGGUGCAAGGAACUGUACCUUGUAGUACUUGUAAUUCAUCUGAUAUGCUAUGGCGCAAUGAGUAUUAGCAUUGUAUCACCUUCCAAACAGCGAUGGAGUUGGAGAGGGCCACUGCUUAAGUGUAUUAAACGUUGGUGAAUGAAAAGCUGCUUUUGUUGAGAUUAGUUGCACCACUAAUGUUUGGUAAGCGACUGUACUGUAGCUCCUGUUUCUUUCUGUGCUGUUAGUGAUGUCAGGAAAAAGAUCUUGAAAUCUUGAAGUCGCAACCUUAUGCAAACAUAAACAGAUGUAAGCACUUUGUAUAUCUGCUGAGCAUAUUACCUCAUAAAACUGUCUUGUGUAUGUAUUAUUACUGACAAGAGUACUUUUCUUCUGUUUGUGGCCUUUAGCACAGUCUAAACACAGUAUGUUAAACUAAUGACACAGAAUAGAUAAAUAUUGGUACAACCUGGGAGUGUUAUAAUUACAACAAUGAUGUUAUUGAAUCAAAUAAUAAGAGUUGAAUAACAAUACUGACGCAAAUUUGAUAUAACAGCAAAUGAUAAGGAAUUCGCCCCCUAAUCUCUGGGAUUAAUAAUCUCACCCCUUAAAGACAUGGAUUACUAAUGUGUUCUUUUCCACCAGCACAUCUCGAUAACACAAUAAUGACCAGUAGUAUAUUUGGACAGAAAUUGUUGGACAUUCCUUACUUAGCAAUGAAAAAGAAAAUAAACAGUGAAUAAACUGCUUACUUUGUA
This is a non-coding RNA of Lepisosteus oculatus (spotted gar), 1213 nucleotides long. The record is from RefSeq and is a predicted model, not a curated record. NCBI's taxonomy places the organism in Eukaryota, Metazoa, Chordata, Actinopteri, Semionotiformes, Lepisosteidae.